CCAACGGCUCUUUUAAGAGCCACUCACUACAUCUGAAGAGCCUUA
This is a non-coding RNA of Poecilia formosa (Amazon molly), 45 nucleotides long. Lineage: Eukaryota; Metazoa; Chordata; Actinopteri; Cyprinodontiformes; Poeciliidae. The record is from Rfam.